GCCCGGCUGGCUCAGUCGGAAGAGCAGGUGGCUCUUGAUCAUGGGGUCGUGAGUUCAAGCCCCACGUUGGGUG
This 73-nucleotide transfer RNA is filed under the name Ailuropoda melanoleuca (giant panda). It matches the Rfam family "tRNA". Rfam says of the family: Transfer RNA (tRNA) molecules are approximately 80 nucleotides in length. Their secondary structure includes four short double-helical elements and three loops (D, anti-codon, and T loops). Further hydrogen bonds mediate the characteristic L-shaped molecular structure. tRNAs have two regions of fundamental functional importance: the anti-codon, which is responsible for specific mRNA codon recognition, and the 3' end, to which the tRNAs corresponding amino acid is attached (by aminoacyl-tRNA synthetases). tRNAs cope with the degeneracy of the genetic code in two manners: having more than one tRNA (with a specific anti-codon) for a particular amino acid; and 'wobble' base-pairing, i.e. permitting non-standard base-pairing at the 3rd anti-codon position. The record is from Rfam by way of RNAcentral. Lineage: Eukaryota; Metazoa; Chordata; Mammalia; Carnivora; Ursidae.